GACGAACCGUACGAACGUUAUUCGGAAUUACUCGGCUUAAAGGGUGCGUAUGCGGCGCAGUAAGUUGGGUGUGAAAUCCCUCGGCUUAACCGAGGAAUUGCGCCCAAAACUACUGUGCUCGAGGGAGAUAGAGGUGAGCGGAACUUAGGGUGGAGCGGUGAAAUGCGUUGAUAUCCUAAGGAACACCGGUGGCGAAAGCGGCUCACUGGAUCUCUUCUGACGCUGAGGCACGAAAGCUAGGGUAGCAAACGGG
This 253-nucleotide ribosomal RNA is filed under the name uncultured bacterium. Its description in RNAcentral is "partial 16S ribosomal RNA". It matches the Rfam family "Bacterial small subunit ribosomal RNA", at positions 524 to 776 of the family's 1533-position model. The record is from RNAcentral.